Molecule: RNase P RNA, 393 nt
Filed under: chicken gut metagenome
Description: Bacterial RNase P class A
Rfam family: Bacterial RNase P class A
About the family: Ribonuclease P (RNase P) is a ubiquitous endoribonuclease, found in archaea, bacteria and eukarya as well as chloroplasts and mitochondria.
Source: RNAcentral
UAAAUUGAAUAGUCGCUGGUAAAAUUCGAAAGGAUUUACGAGAGGAAAGUCCGGGCUCCAUAGAGCAAUGAUGCUAGAUAACGUCUAGUGAGGGAAACCUUAAGGAAAGUGCAACAGAAAAUAACCGCCUCAAUUUUGUGUAGUUUUAACUACUUUAUAUAUUAGGAUUAAAUCCUUAAAUAUUAGUGAGGUAAGGGUGAAAAGGCGAGGUAAGAGCUCACCGCCAGUAUGGUGACAUAAUGGGUCAGUGUAAACCCCAUCUGGAGCAACACCUAAGUAGAAGAUUAAGUCUGCUCGGCGUCUUCUGAAAUGCGUGGCUUGAAGCAUAUAGCAAUAUAUGUUCUAGAUAAAUGACUAUUUUAAAUGACAGAACCCGGCUUACAGAUUUACUUA